UGCCCAGACUCCUACGGGAGGCAGCAGUGGGGAAUAUUGCACAAUGGGGGAAACCCUGAUGCAGCAACGCCGCGUGAGUGAAGAAGUCAUUCGUGAUGUAAAUCUCUAUCAGCAGGGAAGAAAAUGACGGUACCUGAGUAAGAAGCCCCGGCUAACUACGUGCCAGCAGCCGCGGUAAUACGUAGGGGGCAAGCGUUAUCCGGAUUUACUGGGUGUAAAGGGAGCGUAGACGGCUGCGCAAGUCAGAAGUGAAAGCCCGGGGCUCAACCGCGGGACUGCUUUUGAAACUGUGUAGCUAGAGUGCAGGAGAGGUAAGUGGAAUUCCUAGUGUAGCGGUGAAAUGCGUAGAUAUUAGGAGGAACACCAGUGGCGAAGGCGGCUUUCUGGACUGUAACUGACGUUGAGGCACGAAAGUGUGGGGAGCAAACAGGAUUAGAUACCCUUGUAUA
Molecule: ribosomal RNA, 449 nt
Filed under: uncultured bacterium
Lineage: Bacteria
Description: bacterial SSU rRNA
Rfam family: Bacterial small subunit ribosomal RNA
Source: RNAcentral